Molecule: ribosomal RNA, 1353 nt
Filed under: Ralstonia sp.
Lineage: Bacteria; Pseudomonadati; Pseudomonadota; Betaproteobacteria; Burkholderiales; Burkholderiaceae
Description: bacterial SSU rRNA
Rfam family: Bacterial small subunit ribosomal RNA
Source: RNAcentral
GCUUGCUACCUGCCGGCGAGUGGCGAACGGGUGAGUAAUACAUCGGAACGUGCCCUGUAGUGGGGGAUAACUAGUCGAAAGACUAGCUAAUACCGCAUACGACCUGAGGGUGAAAGUGGGGGACCGCAAGGCCUCAUGCUAUAGGAGCGGCCGAUGUCUGAUUAGCUAGUUGGUGGGGUAAAGGCCCACCAAGGCGACGAUCAGUAGCUGGUCUGAGAGGACGAUCAGCCACACUGGGACUGAGACACGGCCCAGACUCCUACGGGAGGCAGCAGUGGGGAAUUUUGGACAAUGGGGGCAACCCUGAUCCAGCAAUGCCGCGUGUGUGAAGAAGGCCUUCGGGUUGUAAAGCACUUUUGUCCGGAAAGAAAUCGCACUGGUUAAUACCUGGUGUGGAUGACGGUACCGGAAGAAUAAGGACCGGCUAACUACGUGCCAGCAGCCGCGGUAAUACGUAGGGUCCAAGCGUUAAUCGGAAUUACUGGGCGUAAAGCGUGCGCAGGCGGUUGUGCAAGACCGAUGUGAAAUCCCCGGGCUUAACCUGGGAAUUGCAUUGGUGACUGCACGGCUAGAGUGUGUCAGAGGGAGGUAGAAUUCCACGUGUAGCAGUGAAAUGCGUAGAGAUGUGGAGGAAUACCGAUGGCGAAGGCAGCCUCCUGGGAUAACACUGACGCUCAUGCACGAAAGCGUGGGGAGCAAACAGGAUUAGAUACCCUGGUAGUCCACGCCCUAAACGAUGUCAACUAGUUGUUGGGGAUUCAUUUCCUUAGUAACGUAGCUAACGCGUGAAGUUGACCGCCUGGGGAGUACGGUCGCAAGAUUAAAACUCAAAGGAAUUGACGGGGACCCGCACAAGCGGUGGAUGAUGUGGAUUAAUUCGAUGCAACGCGAAAAACCUUACCUACCCUUGACAUGCCACUAACGAAGCAGAGAUGCAUUAGGUGCUCGAAAGAGAAAGUGGACACAGGUGCUGCAUGGCUGUCGUCAGCUCGUGUCGUGAGAUGUUGGGUUAAGUCCCGCAACGAGCGCAACCCUUGUCUCUAGUUGCUACGAAAGGGCACUCUAGAGAGACUGCCGGUGACAAACCGGAGGAAGGUGGGGAUGACGUCAAGUCCUCAUGGCCCUUAUGGGUAGGGCUUCACACGUCAUACAAUGGUGCAUACAGAGGGUUGCCAAGCCGCGAGGUGGAGCUAAUCCCAGAAAAUGCAUCGUAGUCCGGAUCGUAGUCUGCAACUCGACUACGUGAAGCUGGAAUCGCUAGUAAUCGCGGAUCAGCAUGCCGCGGUGAAUACGUUCCCGUGGUCUUGUACACACCGCCCGUCACACCAUGGGAGUGGGCUUUACCAGAAGUAG